GUUUUCUAAUUGUCCCAUGUCAUUGGCCCAUGUAAAUACAAAGAUUUCUCUCUCCCCGCCCCGCUUCUAAAGAAUGAUUUUUCUCUUGUGUUUCUCAGAGAAGGAACAAGCUAUAAAUCGGGCUGGAAUUGUUCAAGAGGAUGUGCAGCCACCAGGGUUAAAAGUGUGGUCUGAUCCAUUUGGCAGGAAAUGAGAGGGCUGUCACCAGCUCUGAUUAAGAAAGGAGAUUUCUUCAUGCUUUCGAUUCUGCAUGGGGUACAGUCAGUCACCUCACCAGAGAAUGACGGCUGGAGAAGAAAAUUCUAAUACCAUAAAUGAGAGUGCUUGUAAUAAAAGACUGUGCACAAGGAUUAAUAUUUCCCUUCUUAAGUAUCAAAAGAACUCUGGAACAAAUUAUACCAUUAGGAAGGUUUUCAUGAUUCAGU
RNAcentral lists this small RNA (425 nucleotides) under Pongo abelii (Sumatran orangutan). RNAcentral describes it as "processed transcript". Lineage: Eukaryota; Metazoa; Chordata; Mammalia; Primates; Hominidae. The record is from RNAcentral.